GACUUCAAUCAAAACUCUUAGCAUGUAGUAUUAUUCUGCCCCGGCCGAAUUGUUGUUAACACGUUAACAACACUGGAGACUUAUUCCCUUGUGUGACAAAAUAUUCUUUUAUGCGAGUUGUAUUUCUAUUCUUCUUCUUCAAUAUCCGGUUCCUCUGGUUGCCACAGUUCAUACCAUGACAGUAAUUCACGAUAUUCUUUUCUUAACUGGCAUUCCAUUCCAUAAUUUGGCUUAAGUAGCCUUCCUACUUCUUUUGAUAUUAUACUAUUCCUUCCAUAAUAUUCUCGUAGAAAUAUUUUUGUUAUUUUGUUUUGAUACAUCAUAUGGUACUCAGUAUUGAAUUUAGUAUUUCCUUCUAUUUCUUUUGCUUCAUUGAAAAUUCUCCAAUUAUCAUGAUUAUUUUUGGCACGUAUUUCUUCAAAAUUGUACCAUGUUUCUGAAGACCAUUCGUAGGGAAUUUAUACAAACCUUUUAUAAUAUAUAUAUAUCAUGACUUGCUGGUCUUAAUGGUAUUGUAAAUUUUGGUGGGUUAGAAAAGUAUUUUAUUUUAUAUUUUCCUUGAACACACGCCAAUCUUUUACAUGCUUCCUUAAUAGCCUUUCCUAAAUCAGAUUGAAGUAU
This 621-nucleotide long non-coding RNA is filed under the name Setaria italica (foxtail millet). RNAcentral's name for it is "long non-coding RNA (SITA_LNC005362)". Lineage: Eukaryota; Viridiplantae; Streptophyta; Magnoliopsida; Poales; Poaceae. The record is from RNAcentral.